Molecule: long non-coding RNA, 771 nt
Filed under: Mytilus galloprovincialis (Mediterranean mussel)
Lineage: Eukaryota; Metazoa; Mollusca; Bivalvia; Mytilida; Mytilidae
Source: RNAcentral
UACUGUGGAUUCAUUUUUAUUCGUGGUAUACCAAUUUUCGUGGGUUUCGUGGGACACAGCGAACCACGAAUUUAAGAAUUCAACGAAAAAUAAUCCCAAGAAAUGUAUAUGGAGUCGGAUUUUUAUUUCCGGUUAUGUUAUGCAGUUCUAGUAUAGUUAGUGUUGACUAGGGACAAACAUUGUAACAUAAAACGUGUUUUUUAUUGAAAGAAGAUACAAGUAUUUUGAUUAAAUCUAUAAUAAAUAUAUCGAAAAUCAGUGAUAAUUUACUUUAUAAAAUUUAUUAAAACUGUUCAUGGAAAAUAACUGCAAGUUGUUAAUUACCGUGUCAUAGUUUGGUUUACCACUGAUUAAAAAUCAAUAGGAUUAAGUACAGGGAUAUUGCCCGUAGGUAAUAUUGUUUAUGACAGGAACAUUUAUUUUCACAUCUUAUACUUAUAUCGUAAUAAGGGAAUUGAGCUUUCAAUCAUAAAGUUUUGAAUGCCUUAUAGGAUUCAAACAAGAAUUUAUAAAUUGUAAAACAAACACAUAAUUAGUUGUCUCUGUCCAUUAUUGUAAUCGAAGUUAUCAAUGAACACUUUACCCUAGAAUGACCAAGCGAGGAUUUUGACGAUUCAAAACUUUUUCAAUUAAUUCCUUCUUUUUUUUGUUUUUUUUUGUUAUUAUUGAUCAAACCAAGGAGGUUAUAUGAUAUCCUAAAUCAAAAAGAAAUCCACGAAUUACGUAUCUAAUUUGUUGUUGUUGUAAUCAGCGAUCCACGAAUUUACGUAU